This is a long non-coding RNA of Acipenser ruthenus (sterlet), 1939 nucleotides long. RefSeq lists it as uncharacterized. Lineage: Eukaryota; Metazoa; Chordata; Actinopteri; Acipenseriformes; Acipenseridae. The record is from RefSeq and is a predicted model, not a curated record. The transcript has 3 exons.
CCCAACUACAGCAGCAACUGCACCCCCUACUACAGCAACAACCGCGGCCCCAACUACAGCAGUAAAUGUGGCCCUAACUACAGCAGCAACCACAGCCACUACUGCAACAGCAACCGCGGCCCCUGCUACAGCAGGAACUGGCAAACCUCCAGCAACAGCAGUCAAUACAACCACCCAAAGGCCCUUUCCUGGGUUCGCUGUUGCCAUCAUUGUCAUGUGCGGUUUAGCCAUCUUGGCUGUCCCACUAAUUAUGAUUCUGGUCCUGAAGACCAAAAUGUGUUCAAAGCUGGCACAGGCUUGCUCUCUGGAGUCCCCCCUCUAUGAGGAGCAUUAAUAAGAUAUGAAUAAACAUGGCAUCCAAUGAAAAGAAGAAUUAAGAAAACAUGAAUUCUAUAAAUGUUUAUUGAAUACAUUUGAUUUGGCAAGAACAUUUUCACUAUGCUCAUGUAGUCCUUCCAGAAAGAACAGAUUGCAGCCAUGUAUAUAAUGAAGCGAUAGUGCCGGAUCAUGAAGGCUCUACUGUCUGCUAGCUGACCCCGACUGGAGAAUAAUAUAUUUACCUUGAACUUGUAAUGAUUCGUCAGGUUCCCUUCUGCUGAGAAGCUUUAGGAAAAUAGUCCCAAAAAUGUUCAUAAAGGUUCACACACAUAAUUGAGAAACAAAUCACUUUUUUUACUUAUCAGAGCUGUUUAUAGUCUAUCUGAACAGUGUCAGAUAUCUGAAUGGAGCAAUAUUACUUCACUGUGUGUGUCUCGGUUUGUUGUUGUUGAAACAUGCUGUCUGCGCUCCAGUCGAGCUGACAGGCUGCGAUUGGCUGACUCGGCCGUUGCAGGUACGGGAUUGGUUGCUUUUGUGUGUGCAAAAUAUUGAUUGAAGAAGUUCUGUGAACCCAGUGACAAUAAUCCUGAAAUUAGAUUGAACAAAAAAAUAAAAAAACGACAAUUGCCAGAGCACUGCAACACCCAUGUACAGUACCUGUGUCUGCACCACACACACAGCACCGCAACACACAUGUACAGUACCUGUGUCUGCACCACACACACAGCACUGCAACACCCAUGUACAGUACCUGUGUCUGCACCACACACACAGCACUGCAACACCCAUGUACAGGACCUGUGUCUGCACCACACACACAGCACUGCAACACCCAUGUACAGUACCUGUGUCUGCACCACACACACAGCACUGCAACACACAUGUACAAUCUCAUGUUUAACUGUUUGAUGUGUUUGUUUUAACUUGUUUAUUAUUAUAUUGAUUACUGUAUUAGCACUGUUGUGCAUAGGAUUAAUAUUGUUGAAUACAUUGUGCUUUAUAGCUCAGUGUUACUGUAUGAAAAUAGUCUUGUUUCUAUCUAUGUCUAUUCCAUUUGUAAGUCUUCUAACUUAAUUAAAGCAUACAUUUUUGUAUAAAUACUAUGUGGUCUGUCUUUAAAAUGUGAUUUUUAAUCACCGGUAAUUAAACCCUAUCAAACAGUUUUUAACGUGAUUAUGUUGCAAAUAGGGCGGCAUUGUGGAGUAGUGGUUAGGGUUCUGGACUUUUGACCAGAGGGUCGCGGGUUCAAUCCCAGGUGGGGGGACACUGCUGCUGUACCCUUGAGCAACGUGCUUUAUAGAUUGCUCCAGUAAAAACUCAACUGUAUAAAUGGGUAAUUGUAUUUAAAAAUAAUGUGUAAAAAGUAACGUAAUUGUAUUUAAAAAAAAAAUUGAUAUCUUGUACCAAUUGGAGGCUGUGUGGUCCAGUAGUUAAAGAAAAGGGCUUGUAACCAGGAGGUCCCUGGUUCAAAUCCCACCUCAGCCACUGACUCAUUGUGUGACCCUGAGCAAGUCACUUAACCUCCUUGUGCUCCGUCUUUCGGGCGAGACGUAAUUGUAGGUGACUCUGCAGCCGAUGCAUAGUUCACACACCCUAGUCUCUGUAAGUCGCCUUGGAUAAA